UCUUGGUCAUUUAGAGGAAGUAAAAGUCGUAACAAGGUUUCCGUAGGUGAACCUGCGGAAGGAUCAUUACAGAGUUCAUGCCCUUACGGGUAGAUCUCCCACCCUUUGAGUACUAUACUUUUGUUGCUUUGGCAGGCCGCUUCGGCUACCGGCUUCGGCUGGUGAGUGCCUGCCAGAGGACCCCAAACUCUGAAUUAUAGUGUCGUCUGAGAACUAUAUAAUAGUUAAAACUUUCAACAACGGAUCUCUUGGUUCUGGCAUCGAUGAAGAACGCAGCGAAAUGCGAUAAGUAAUGUGAAUUGCAGAAUUCAGUGAAUCAUCGAAUCUUUGAACGCACAUUGCGCCCCUUGGUAUUCCGGGGGGCAUGCCUGUUCGAGCGUCAUUAUAACCCUCAAGCCUAGCUUGGUGUUGGAGCCUGCCUCUGGGCAGCUCUUAAAAUCAGUGGCGGUGCCGUCUGGCUCUAAGCGUAGUAAUUCUUCUCGCUACAGAGUCCCGGCGGUUGCUUGCCAACAACCCCAAAUUUUCUAUGGUUGACCUCGGAUCAGGUAGGGAUACCCGCUGAACUUAAGCAUAUCAAUAA
Molecule: ribosomal RNA, 580 nt
Filed under: uncultured Hebeloma
Lineage: Eukaryota; Fungi; Basidiomycota; Agaricomycetes; Agaricales; Cortinariaceae
Description: eukaryotic LSU rRNA
Rfam family: 5.8S ribosomal RNA (bases 229-382)
Source: RNAcentral